This is a long non-coding RNA of Malaya genurostris, 897 nucleotides long. RefSeq lists it as uncharacterized. The transcript is spliced from 3 exons. NCBI's taxonomy places the organism in Eukaryota, Metazoa, Arthropoda, Insecta, Diptera, Culicidae. The record is from RefSeq and is a predicted model, not a curated record.
CGUCCCCUCGUAAAUCAAUAAAACAAAUUUCUCAGACAACACUGUUCUGGUUGCUACAAGUUAGUUACCAAGGCGCUCUAAUAAAGUAAAUAAACAAACAAAUUGGAAAAGUUCUGAUUUCGAGUAUCGCUCGAUUACUUCUGCCAUGUCUUUUCAUGAAUAAAACCGAAACCUAAUUGUAACAUUAUUUGGAAGCUCCAACAAGUUCUUCAAUUUUGUAAGAGACAAAACCGCCUCAGAAUACACGCAUCUGUUUCCUUGAUCUUAAAUCUAGAUUUGUUUCCUGUUCUUGAAUUUAUUACGUUCAACUUUCAAAUCGAGAGAGAUGGUACCCGCAAAGUUUUGAAAUCUGAGUGUCCAAAAUAUUGCACGCAUUUUUAUGCAACUGUAGUUUUAUACAAGGUUUGGCAUCAGACGCUCAAAAGAAAUUACGAUUGCGUCCUCAAUCAAUCAAUUCGAAAAUUAGAGUUGGCCAUCCAAUUGUUCUCUGGAAAAAGAUGGAUAAUGUUCUGAAAUUCGAUAAAAAACUAUUCAAAAUACAUGCAACAAUUAGUUCACAAGUACCGAGUGCAAACAUACGGGAGAAUCAAACUAUAAGAAAAUAAUAAAUCGGACCAAAAUUUUCAAAGCGACGAACAGUAGAGCCUACUAGCAAGCUCUGUGGCGUAGACAAGAUAGUAUGGACCGGUGCUAGUAUUCUGAAUGAACUACAAAAUCAAAAAGAUUGGAGAGCGAAUAAUGGAUAUUGGAAGUACGUUUCUACAAUCGAAUCAGACUGUGAAAUAAUUGAAUGAUAACUUAAUACAAUGUAAAAAUCUGACUAAUCAGCAACACUACCGAUUAUAGGGUUGAUUAUAAAUUGUUUUGUAUUCUAGAAAUUUUAACAACAAGAAUGCA